This 1038-nucleotide long non-coding RNA is filed under the name Marmota monax (woodchuck). The record is from RNAcentral. Lineage: Eukaryota; Metazoa; Chordata; Mammalia; Rodentia; Sciuridae.
CUUUGAAAGUGGGGCACGGAGGCGGCCACGGGGAGCACUUUUUUCCUUCCCGUGUGUACUCUUGACACAUUCUUUGUGGAAAACACUCAAGCUUCCCAUCCCUGGGAUUCCCGUGAUCCUGUGUUAUCAGCCACAAUUGGCCGAGUCAUCUGUGUGUCCAGCUUGGGGCACUAGUGUGGGUACCUGCCGGCUUUCCGGUUCUGCACCCAGGCUCUGAUCCUGAAGGAUGCCGUGCUGCUGUGCCCUGGGAGGCCUCGGGAAGAGACCAGUGAGCUCCUGGGGUGCUGGUAUUUGUACUCAGCCCUUGCCCCAUGAGCAGGCUGGGCUGCUAGAGUCGUCCUGGAGUGGAAUGGCAGGAUGAGCCCUCAGAUCGGAUCAGACCCAUCGUUGGAAAAGAUUCGAGACUCAAGGUCUCAAUCACCACAGGACACCUGCGGGUGGGUUCUUCCCCCCCUGGACUGGGCAUGCGUCUUUGGGAGGUUGUGCUCCCGUGGGAAAGGGUUCCUCAUGACCUGUACUGUGGCCGAGCUCCCCCAAGGUCGACUUCCAGGACUUCAGGUUUCCCUGGUUAGCCCAGGACGUCUUCAAAAAGUGGGGAAGCAGCUGUGGGGUGCAGCUCGUUGGUAGGUGGGAGACAGGGUGUGGUGCUGUAGCACAAGGAGCAAGGGCGGGCAUACAGCAGAGUGUGGAGGAGGGGCACCUUCACAGGGCGCUCAACACCAGGCUCUGGGCGUGGGUGACAAAGCUGUGGCAUGGAUUUUCAUUGCAUUGCCCCUGGCCAGGGCUUGCCUUGAGUGUCCAGGGCCCGUUGUCCUUUUUGAAGAGCCUGUGAAAGCUGUGUCAGCCGGCGGACUUCAAGCCGCUGUGCUCUCUGACGGCUCCCAGGUUUGCAGGGCAGUUAGUGAAGACCAGCUUAUACUCAGAAUCACUAUGUAUCACCAGUGCUUGUAGCAAAGGGCGAAGUACCUCGCAUGAGUGACUUAAAUACCACUUCUUUAAAAGAAGAGCCCCCUCACCUCCAAUUGGAGGGUCUACAGA